Molecule: long non-coding RNA, 1086 nt
Organism: Aedes aegypti (yellow fever mosquito)
Lineage: Eukaryota; Metazoa; Arthropoda; Insecta; Diptera; Culicidae
Exons: 2
Source: RefSeq, a predicted model, not a curated record
CUAUGUGAUAGGUCACAAUCCAAAUUUGCUUUUUUGUAUUUUUUCUUUUGUUUUUUAUAUAUAUUUUUCUUCUUUUUUGUAAAUAUCCAUACUUUGUUAACAUGUUCAUAGUUUUGUAAAUACUCGUAAAUUUGUAAAUAAUUGUGCUUUCAACCCUAGUUUAAAUAUAAAUAUCUUAAUAUGUAAAUGUAAUCCCUUUCCCCCUAUCCUUCGAUACCAGUUACCCUUAAUAUAACCAAUGAAUUAAUUAAAAAAAAAAAUGAAUUUGUAAAUAAAAAUAAAUUAAAUAUUUGAAUUCAAAUCCCCGUCCUAUAAAACCCUACAUCAUCAUUCCUUCCUUAUGCACUGCAUCAUGGCGCCUUGUACCAACUGUGCGGAAACAAAUCCCUCCCGGGAAAUGUUCCACCCAUGGGUUAUGCUGCAUCAUCCUAAGCGAUAUAAAAAGGAUAUGCAGGCCAAGGCAAAGGAUCUUUUUGGAACUAAAUUCCUAACCGUGUCUCGUGAGUGCAACCGCCGAUCUCUCAUACCAGUGCCGAAAUAGUGGAGUCAUCAUCCAAGUGCGGAAUAAGCAGAACGAAGGCGUCCAGAUCCGGCUUCAGGUGGCCCAGACACGAAGUGACCGACAUCAGAAGACACAGAGGUCGGGUAAGCCCGCAAAACGUUGGAAUCAAGUGAAACUAAAUGUGCACAUCCUUUACUAUCCUAUGAAUUCCCCUCCAAAAUAUAUAAAUUUAUUGUUUAAAAUGUGAAUUUCCAAGUUACAGUGUUUAAGCUUAAUUAUUUAUUACUAGUGCAAUUCCUUUUCUCUAUCUUUUGUUGUGAUUACUUUUUUUCUCGCGCAGCAAGUGAGGGUUGUGAGUCCGCCCCUGAACGAUUCUCCCGGAUAGACCCUGAGAGGGCUGAAGUGUAAAUAGUUUGUAAAAAUUUGCUUAUUAAUUAGUUUUUUUAAUUUUGAAUUGAAGUUUUUUGAAGUUUUUCUAAGUGUUAAUUUCUUUAGUUUUCUAGUUUUCUUUUCAUCUUUUUCUUAUUAUUCUUAAAAAUUAUUGAAAUUACAAAGUGAAUUAGUAUAUAGUAGAAUUAGUAACC